Long non-coding RNA from Apis cerana (Asiatic honeybee), 3426 nucleotides. RefSeq lists it as uncharacterized. The record is from RefSeq and is a predicted model, not a curated record. Lineage: Eukaryota; Metazoa; Arthropoda; Insecta; Hymenoptera; Apidae.
GGAAAUUUGUAGAAAUAAUAUUAUUUCUUUUUAUAUGUAUCAAAUGCUAAAAAAUACUGAAUAAAAAAAAAUAACUUAAUUUUUUAUAUGAUAACUAUUUCUAUACACGCGUUGGCUUGACAUUAUAAAAGCGAAAAGUGAAUGUAAAGAUAAAGUCAGGGUCAUAAUGCUAACUUCACUUUACUUCAUAUUUAUAAUGUAUUAAGUUUUAAACCUGUUUGUGAUAUUUAUCAUCAAAAAGCAUUAAAGAAAUCUUUACAUUUUUAAAAAUGAUAAAAAGUCAUCGAUUAUAAUGCACAACGUGCAUUAUAAUUUUCACGCUCUGAACAUUCGAAUUAAAGUUCGUAUCACAAUAGAAAUAAAAAACUCUCAGGUAUAUUAUUCUUUUAUACUACCUACGUCACGCUACCAAUUAUUCUCACGUUUCAGUAUGCUCGAUUUCAUAAUCGUUCUUAUCGCGUGUUCUCGUUAUCGGGAAAUCGCGAAUUAACACGAAGCACGACGAAGCCGGCCUCGGUAGUUACUCGACAGGAAUCGUCAAUUUCCGUCGAGUUCCGAGUCUCGCACGAGGCGUCGGUUUUCGAGUUUACGAAACGAAUCUUCAAACACUCGUCGAACGUGGUGCAGACAACAACAAAGAUAAAAAUUGUGUUCAACGUCAAGUAACUGUCACUUGUUCAUCGAAAAAAACCGAGUUCGCGCGAUAAUAAGUAUUAUUUUAUUCUUACCUCAUCGAGAGUGAUUCCCUCGUGGUCGAGCUGCUUCGUAGUCAGCUUCUCAUUCUUCCUCUCUUUUUCUCCUUGAUAGCCAACAUCGUAGCCAUGUGUAUGCGAACGUGACCGUUCUGUACAACGAUCACCGCCAUGACACACAAUUCCUCGUUCCCGCCGUGGAAGACUUCGAAACGAACAUUUCACGAUCUCACCGACACACGCGCGACAUCCAGCGGGAUCUUUUUGGCAGCCGGCAACAGGUCGCGGUAGUCGCUAUCCCGUAACACGCGUCGUUGUGUUAUUGUUUAUUGUUCGAUCACAACACGGUUGCGGCGUCGGUAGUGUCGAUCGUAUCGUUGCUCUAUUUCGGUCUUCUCAGGUAGGAGAGGAGGGACAGCGCAGUCUGGCUCGGACGAAUGCUUGGAGACACUAUUAACGACGCUUAAGAACGUCCACUCUGCAGACUGAAAGAGACAGAGAAGAAGAGACAGAGAGAAAGAGAAACGACGGUCAGACACAGAGAAAGAAUGAGCGUAAAGGAAAGAAGAAAUGAGACUGGAGCCAACGGUUACCAUUAUAAAUAGUUGCGACCAAUAGCGACAGAAGUAAUGCUCUCCCGUCCACCAGGUGGAACAGUUGUAGAUUACUAAGAUUGUGAUUUUGUUAAUAUACAAUAAUGAUUUUAAAAUUAUAAUAAAUAUAAAAAUAUAUAAGAUUCUAACCAGAAAAGGAUGAAUGAGAGUGAAAAAGAAAGAUAGCAAAUACAAACGGAAGUAUGCAUGUGAGAAGAACAGAAACAGAAAACAGGUUCUCGUUCGCUCUUAUUUUUUGCGUCAUUGUUCCGUCACUAAAGUCUGCCUUGAAUUUUAAUUAAUUAUAGCUCUAACAUGUAAAUUUGCAUGAUUUCAUUUCGAUUAAUGAAAUUUUUUAAUUUUACAGCUUGAUAAUUGCACUGUCCUAUUGUAUGUAUAUAAUAUUUGUUGAAUAAAUAAAUACAUGCAUAAAUAUAUGAUAACAUCCAUGCAACGAAAUCAAUAAAUUUAUUAAUUAUAAAUAAUAUUAACAAAAACAUAUUUCAAUAAAUAUAUAUUCAUAAAAGUGUCACUUUUAGACUCUAUAAUUUAUAUUCAUUUAAUCAUAUCAAAAGGAUAUUACAAUUAAUAGUCUUGAAAAAUUCAUUUAUAAAUAAAAAUAUUUUUUACACAACGAUAUAAAAUAUUUAAGGAAAUUACCUUAAAAUAAGUAUCCGAAACAAUCCAUUUUUAGAAUGUUUUUAAAUCUUGUAUCAAUGAUAUACCAUAACAAAUUAUAUACGUACAAUUAUCGACACUGUUAAAUAUAAACAAUUUUACAUAAAGAAUUAUAUAGUAUUUUUAUCGAAUCAAGUUCUCACAUAUUAAAAAAUUUGUUUUGAAAAUCAAACUUUCUGAGGUACUAAAAUUCUCACGACAACUAUCAUUACACGCAGAUUCCGUAUUGCUUAUUUUAAGGAGGAGUGUUUGUUGGCAGCACUUCAACGUUUCGUACCUGUUUAUACAUAAAUUUUGGCGCGAAUCCGAAAUGUCAUGGCGAUCGCCGGGUAUUUACGAAACGAUUAUAAAUCGAUUAAAGUAUUUUUAUUUCGUUAUUAAUAAAUUUGACUAUAUCGAUAUGUUUUUAAUUAAUAAAACAAUACGUUAGAAGCAUUGUCGUACAGAAAUAACGUGAUCGGCAGUGUUUACCAAGUGCAUUGUACUCGUAAUAGAUAAAUAUUUAAAGAAGAAAAGGACAGACAGUUGAAAAAAUAUCGAAAUGUAAGAAAAGUGUUACUAUAAUAAUUGUCACGAAUAACGUUUCAUCCAUAUCUUUUUAUUACGAGAUAGAUAAGGUGAUGUUAGUAUAAUACAAAGGCAUUGCCGAAAGUUUUAUAACUAUUUUAUAACUCUUACGAUAAUGUAGGAACUUUAGAGAGGAAAUUCUUUUCCUUCCAUUAAUCAGAUUGUGUAUACUCUCCUAUUUUCUCGUGAUUUCCGAAUUUAUUGCUAAUAAAAUUUAUGCCAAUAAAAGUAAAAAAAUCAGCUUUGUUAAUUUCGAAUUAAAUAAUAAAAACAUUAUUGAAAUUUUAGAUUCGGAAUAUUUUUUUCCAUAGCCUUUUUUAAUUUACAAUCUUGAUUACAAGUAUGCGUAACAAAUCUCUUCGUGGGAUAAGGGAAAGAUUCCUUACGGAAGUCUUAUACGAUAAAUCUUUUUUUUUUUUAUUUUAAUAAUGUGUGUGCGUGUAUUUUUGUACAAUAUAAUAAUAAUUGUAAUAGCGCAAUAGAAGUAGUAGAAUAAUAAUAAUAGAAGUAGAAGUGGUAGAACAGUUGAGAAAUAAUAAUGGCAUGUUUUAUCUCGCCGGAAUUCUCGCCAUUAUAGAAUGGAUUUCUUCGUGGAAAAAUAUAACGUACAGACGUUCACCUUCUUGUCCCGUUUUCCUUUGUCUCAUAAAAGCCAUCUAUAAUAACAAGAUUCUGGAAAAAUGGUCCGCCAUUGUUCGCCUCUACUGCCGCCACGACUAUAUAUGAAUUCGAUGGUUCUUCAUAGGAUGUUUCGAUAUUUCUUAAUGAUCGAUCGAUUCAAUUUGUGGUUUUUAGGAUUUUUUUAGAAGAGACAUUUAUUCUUCCUCUUCUUCCUCCUCUUCCUCCUCCUCUUCUUCCUCCUCCUCCUCUUCCUCCUCCUCCUCCUCCUCCUCUUC